GCUUAGCCCUAAACAUUAAUAGCAUUAUACACAAGCUAUUCGCCCGGGAACUACGAGCAUAAGCUUAAAACCCAAAGGACUUGGCGGUGCUUAAGAUCCACCUAGAGGAGCCUGUUCUAGAACCGAUAACCCCCGUUCAACCUCACCCUCCCUUGAUCCUUCCGCCUAUAUACCACCGUCGUCAGCUUACCCUGUGAAGGAAUAAUAGUAAGCAAAACUGGCACAGCCCAAAACGUCAGGUCGAGGUGUAGCGCAUGGGAGGGGAAGAAAUGGGCUACAUUGAUUACUUUAGUGAAUACGAACGAUGCCCUGAAACGGACAUCCAAAGGAGGAUUUAGCAGUAAGCAAAGAACAGAGUGCUCCGCUGAAACUGGCUCUAAAGCGCGCACACACCGCCCGUCACUCUCCCCGCUUCAAUACCCACCUUAUACCAAAACCCCUAAUGAUCUCUAAGGGGAGGCAAGUCGUAACAUGGUAAGUGUACCGGAAGGUGCACUUGGUUAAAUCAGAGCGUAGCUAAGACAGAAAAGUAUCUCCCUUACACUGAGAAGUCACCCGUGCAAAUCGGGUCGCCCUGAACCAAACAGCUAGCUCACCCCCACAAACUCAAAAUACCCCCAUAAAUAACCCCCAAAGCACAACCAAGCCAUCUAACCAAACCAUUCUCCCUCCUCAGUACGGGCGACGGAAAAGGAACCAGAAGCAAUAGAUAAAGUACCGCAAGGGAACGCUGAAAGAGAAAUGAAACAACUCAGUAAAGUACAAAAAAGCAGAGACUCACACUCGUACCUUUUGCAUCAUGAUUUAGCAAGUUUACUCAAGCAAAGAGAACUGUAGUUUGACCCCCCGAAACUAAGUGAGCUACUCCAAGACAGCCUAUUAAAGGGCCAACCCGUCUCUGUGGCAAAAGAGUGGGAAGAGCUUCGAGUAGGGGUGAUAGACCUAUCGAACUUAGUUAUAGCUGGUUGCCUAAAAACUGGAUAGGAGUUCAGCCUUCUAGCUUCUCUACUCCAAUAAUUUUAAUUAACCCCUCAGACAUAAAGAAACUAGAAGAGUUACUCAAAGGGGGUACAGCCCCUUUGAGCAAAGACACAACUUUAGUAGCCGGGUAAAGAUCAUAACAACAAAAGGGAAGUGUUCCAGUGGGCCUAAAAGCAGCCAUCUAAACAGAAAGCGUUAAAGCUCAGACACACCCCACAUCCCCCUAAUUCCGAUAACAAAAUCUUAACCCACUUGACCUAUUAGGCUGUUUCAUGCAAACAUGAAAGCACCAAUGCUAAUAUGAGUAAUAAGAGAGGACAUUAGCCUCUCUCCCAGCACGCAUGUACAUCAGAACGGACCUUCCACCGAACAUUACCGGCCCCAAUCAAAGAGGGAAAUGGGCAAAAACCAAACAACUAGAAAACAGCCCAAUAACAACCGUUAAGCCCACACCGGCGUGCUUACAAGGAAAGACCUAAAGAAAAAGAAGGAACUCGGCAAACACAUCAAGCCUCGCCUGUUUACCAAAAACAUCGCCUCUUGUUACGCUCAAGAUAAGAGGUCCCGCCUGCCCGGUGAUAUAUUUAACGGCCGCGGUAUUUUAACCGCGCGAAGGUAGCGCAAUCACUUGUUUUUUAAAUGAAGACCCGUAUGAAUGGCACAACGAGGGCCUAACUGUCUCCUUUUUCCAGUCAGUGAAAUUGAUCUCCCCGUGCAGAAGCGGGGAUAACCACAUAAGACGAGAAGACCCUGUGGAGCUUUAGACACCAAGACAGACUUUAUUACUACCCCAAAAUAAAGGACACUACAAAGACCCUGUCUUGUGUCUUAGGUUGGGGCGACCCCGGAGAACAAAAAUCCUCCGCGCAGAACGAGAGAACUUCUCUCACAACCAAGAGUGACAACUCUAAGCAAUAGAACCUCUAACUAAAAGAUCCGGCCAAGCCGAUCAACGAACCAAGUUACCCCAGGGAUAACAGCGCAAUCCCCUUUUAGAGUCCCUAUCAACAAGGGGGUUUACGACCUCGAUGUUGGAUCAGGACAUCCUAAUGGUGCAGCCGCUAUUAAGGGUUCGUUUGUUCAACGAUUAAAGUCCU
This 2078-nucleotide unclassified non-coding RNA is filed under the name Channa panaw. RNAcentral describes it as "partial contains 12S small subunit ribosomal RNA, tRNA-Val, and 16S large subunit ribosomal RNA". The stretch from base 662 to 2078 matches the Rfam family "Bacterial large subunit ribosomal RNA", at positions 1 to 2597 of the family's 2925-position model. The record is from RNAcentral. Lineage: Eukaryota; Metazoa; Chordata; Actinopteri; Anabantiformes; Channidae.